RNAcentral lists this ribosomal RNA (607 nucleotides) under Russula sp. RNAcentral describes it as "partial small subunit ribosomal RNA". It matches the Rfam family "Bacterial small subunit ribosomal RNA", at positions 341 to 972 of the family's 1533-position model. The record is from RNAcentral. Lineage: Eukaryota; Fungi; Basidiomycota; Agaricomycetes; Russulales; Russulaceae.
UUAUCAUUCAGCAGUCAAGAAUAUUAGUCAAUGCUCGAAAGAGUGAACUAGCUAACUGAAUCAAUUAAAAAUUGAUAACAUAAGGGAAAAUAAUGAUAUUACCUUAUUAUUAGUGUCGUCCAAAACUGGUGCCAGAAGACUCGGUAAGGCCAGAGACAUAAACGUUAAUCGUCUUAAUCAGGCGUAAAGGGUUUGUAGGCGGCUUUUAAUUUUACUUAUUUAUUCUGUUUUCGUUAUUUUUUUAAUUAAAAUUUAUAAGUAAAGAAUAAAAGCUAGAAUCAAAUAGAGGAUAUAUUAAAUAAUGCUUAGAGUAGGUCUGAUAUCCAUAGAUACUAAGUAGAAUAUUAAAGGCGAAGGCUUUUUUCCAUUAAUGAUUGACGCUCAGAAACGAAGGUGAGGAUAGGAAAUAGGAUUAGAUACCCAAAAUACCCCUCUCUGUCAACGAUGAAUGGUAGUUAUUAGUAAUAAAUUAAUUAAUGACAAUGUUAACACGAUAACCAUUCCGCCUUGUGAGUACAACUGCAAAGUUGAAAACAAAAAAAUUAGUCGGUUUCGGAGCAAACGAAGUGAAGCAUGUUAUUUAAUUCGAUAAUCCGCAGUAGAUAUU